RNAcentral lists this ribosomal RNA (411 nucleotides) under Actinomycetes bacterium. RNAcentral's name for it is "Actinobacteria bacterium partial 16S ribosomal RNA". It matches the Rfam family "Bacterial small subunit ribosomal RNA", at positions 355 to 776 of the family's 1533-position model. The record is from RNAcentral. Lineage: Bacteria; Bacillati; Actinomycetota; Actinomycetes.
UGGGGAAUAUUGCACAAUGGGCGCAAGCCUGAUGCAGCGACGCCGCGUGGGGGAUGACGGCCUUCGGGUUGUAAACUCCUUUCGCUAGGGACGAAGCUUUUUGUGACGGUACCUAGAUAAGAAGCACCGGCUAACUACGUGCCAGCAGCCGCGGUAAUACGUAGGGUGCGAGCGUUGUUCGGAAUUACUGGGCGUAAAGGGCUCGUAGGUGGUUUGUCGCGUCGUCUGUGAAAUUCCGGGGCUUAACUCCGGGCGUGCAGGCGAUACGGGCAUAACUUGAGUACUGUAGGGGUAACUGGAAUUCCUGGUGUAGCGGUGAAAUGCGCAGAUAUCAGGAGGAACACCGAUGGCGAAGGCAGGUUACUGGGCAGUUACUGACGCUGAGGAGCGAAAGCAUGGGUAGCGAACAGG